ACAGCAGCAGCCGCGGUAAUACAGAGGGUGCAAGCGUUAAUCGGAAUUACUGGGCGUAAAGCGCGCGUAGGUGGUUUGUUAAGUUGGAUGUGAAAUCCCCGGGCUCAACCUGGGAACUGCAUCCAAAACUGGCAGGCUAGAGUAGGGCAGAGGGUGGUGGAAUUUCCUGUGUAGCGGUGAAAUGCGUAGAUAUAGGAAGGAACACCAGUGGCGAAGGCGACCACCUGGGCUCAUACUGACACUGAGGUGCGAAAGCGUGGGGAGCAAACAGGAUUAGAUACCCGCGUAGUCCCUGUCUCUUAUAC
This 305-nucleotide ribosomal RNA is filed under the name uncultured bacterium. RNAcentral's name for it is "partial 16S ribosomal RNA". It matches the Rfam family "Bacterial small subunit ribosomal RNA", at positions 505 to 807 of the family's 1533-position model. The record is from RNAcentral.